GACGAACGCUGGCGGCGUGCUUAACACAUGCAAGUCGAACGGAAAGGCCCUGCUUUUGUGGGGUGCUCGAGUGGCGAACGGGUGAGUAACACGUGAGUAACCUGCCCUUGACUUUGGGAUAACUUCAGGAAACUGGGGCUAAUACCGGAUAGGAGCUCCUGCUGCAUGGUGGGGGUUGGAAAGUUUCGGCGGCUGGGGAUGGACUCGCGGCUUAUCAGCUUGUUGGUGGGGUAGUGGCUUACCAAGGCUUUGACGGGUAGCCGGCCUGAGAGGGUGACCGGCCACAUUGGGACUGAGAUACGGCCCAGACUCCUACGGGAGGCAGCAGUGGGGAAUAUUGCACAAUGGGCGGAAGCCUGAUGCAGCAACGCCGCGUGCGGGAUGGCGGCCUUCGGGUUGUAAACCGCUUUCGCCUGUGACGAAGCGUGAGUGACGGUAAUGGGUAAAGAAGCACCGGCUAACUACGUG
RNAcentral lists this ribosomal RNA (468 nucleotides) under uncultured bacterium. RNAcentral describes it as "partial 16S ribosomal RNA". It matches the Rfam family "Bacterial small subunit ribosomal RNA", at positions 28 to 507 of the family's 1533-position model. The record is from RNAcentral.